UCUCCCAUGUGCAAGCUCCGGUGAUGGUGAGAAACAGCAAUAAUCGCGAUUUUUCUUUUACAAUGUUCUGGGGAUUGAACCCAAGGCCUGAUGCACACUUAGCAAGCAUUCCACCACUGAGCUACAGCAUCCAUUCAGAGCCCUAAAUUCUUUUCUGGUGACUUGCAACCCUUUCUCUCAUCCAUUAGUCAUAAAUGCGUGUGUUUCCCCGAAUAAAGAGGAACAUUUCCAAAGCAA
This is a long non-coding RNA of Dipodomys spectabilis (banner-tailed kangaroo rat), 237 nucleotides long. RefSeq lists it as uncharacterized. NCBI's taxonomy places the organism in Eukaryota, Metazoa, Chordata, Mammalia, Rodentia, Heteromyidae. The transcript is spliced from 2 exons. The record is from RefSeq and is a predicted model, not a curated record.